Molecule: ribosomal RNA, 500 nt
Filed under: uncultured bacterium
Lineage: Bacteria
Description: partial 16S ribosomal RNA
Rfam family: Bacterial small subunit ribosomal RNA
Source: RNAcentral
AUUGAACGCUGGCGGCGUGCUUAACACAUGCAAGUCGAUCGGUAACGCGGGGGCAACCCCGGCGACGAGAGGCAGACGGGUGAGGAACGCUUGGGAAUCUGCCUAUCAGCGGGGGACAACCCGGGGAAACUCGGGCUAAUACCGCAUACGCUCUACGGAGGAAAGCCGGGGACCGCAAGGCCUGGCACUGAUAGAUGAGCCCAAGUCGGAUUAGCUAGUUGGCGGGGUAACGGCCCACCAAGGCGACGAUCCGUAGCUGGUCUGAGAGGACGAUCAGCCACACUGGGACUGAGACACGGCCCAGACUCCUACGGGAGGCAGCAGUGGGGAAUAUUGGACAAUGGGGGAAACCCUGAUCCAGCGACGCCGCGUGGGUGAAGAAGGCCUGCGGGUUGUAAAGCCCUUUCGGUAGGGACGAAAGCUCUCGACCUAACACGUCGGGAGGUUGACUUAACCUACAAAAGAAGCACCGGCUAACUCUGUGCCAGCAGCCGCCGUAA